GAUGAACGCUGGCGGCGUGCCUAAUACAUGCAAGUCGAGCGAACAGACGAGGAGCUUGCUCCUCUGACGUUAGCGGCGGACGGGUGAGUAACACGUGGAUAACCUACCUAUAAGACUGGGAUAACUUCGGGAAACCGGAGCUAAUACCGGAUAAUAUAUUGAACCGCAUGGUUCAAUAGUGAAAGACGGUUUUGCUGUCACUUAUAGAUGGAUCCGCGCCGCAUUAGCUAGUUGGUAAGGUAACGGCUUACCAAGGCAACGAUGCGUAGCCGACCUGAGAGGGUGGUCGGCCCCACUGGAACUGAGACACGGUCCAGACUCCUACGGGAGGCAGCAGUAGGGAAUCUUCCGCAAUGGGCGAAAGCCUGACGGAGCAACGCCGCGUGCGUGGUGAAGGUCUUCGGAUCGUAAAACUCUGUUAUUAGGGAAGAACAAAUGUGUAAGUAACUAUGCACGUCUUGACGGUACCUAAUCAGAAAGCCACGGCUAACUACGUG
This 497-nucleotide ribosomal RNA is filed under the name uncultured bacterium. RNAcentral describes it as "partial 16S ribosomal RNA". It matches the Rfam family "Bacterial small subunit ribosomal RNA", at positions 28 to 507 of the family's 1533-position model. The record is from RNAcentral.